This 877-nucleotide ribosomal RNA is filed under the name uncultured bacterium. Its description in RNAcentral is "bacterial SSU rRNA". It matches the Rfam family "Bacterial small subunit ribosomal RNA", at positions 8 to 916 of the family's 1533-position model. The record is from RNAcentral.
AGAGUUUGAUCCUGGCUCAGGACGAACGCUGGCGGCGUGCUUAACACAUGCAAGUCGAACGAGGUGCUUGCACCUAGUGGCGAACGGGUGAGUAACACGUGAGCAACCUGCCCCUGGCUCUGGGAUAGCCUCCGGAAACGGGGAUUAAUACCGGACAUGACCUUCUCCUGCAUGGGGGAGGGUGGAAAGUUUUUCGGCCAGGGAGGGGCUCGCGGCCUAUCAGCUUGUUGGGGGGUAAUGGCCCACCAAGACGAUGAUCGGUAUCCGGCCUGAGAGGGCGCACGGACACACUGGAACUGAAACACGGUCCAGACUCCUACGGGAGGCAGCAGUGGGGAAUUUUGCGCAAUGGGGGAAACCCUGACGCAGCAACGCCGCGUGGAGGAUGAAGUAUCUUGGUACGUAAACUCCUUUCGAUGGGGACGAUUAUGACGGUACCCAUAGAAGAAGCGCCGGCUAACUACGUGCCAGCAGCCGCUGUAAUACGUAGGGCGCAAGCGUUGUCCGGAAUUAUUGGGCGUAAAGAGCUCGUAGGCGGCCAGUUGCGUCCGCUGUGAAAUCCCGGGGCUUAACCCCGGGCGUGCAGUGGAUACGGGCUGGCUGGAGGCAGGCAGGGGAGAACGGAAUUCCUGGUGUAGCGGUGAAAUGCGCAGAUAUCAGGAGGAACACCGGUGGCGAAGGCGGUUCUCUGGGCCUGUACUGACGCUGAGGAGCGAAAGCGUGGGGAGCGAACAGGAUUAGAUACCCUGGUAGUCCACGCCGUAAACGUUGGGCGCUAGGUGUGGGUCCCUUCCACGGGGUCUGUGCCGCAGCUAACGCAUUAAGCGCCCCGCCUGGGGAGUACGGCCGCAAGGCUAAAACUCAAAGGAAUUGACGG